RNAcentral lists this ribosomal RNA (224 nucleotides) under uncultured bacterium. RNAcentral describes it as "partial 16S ribosomal RNA". It matches the Rfam family "Bacterial small subunit ribosomal RNA", at positions 524 to 746 of the family's 1533-position model. The record is from RNAcentral.
GACAGAGGCCCCAAGCGUUAGGCGGAAUCACUGGGCUUAAAGCGUGUGUAGGCGGAUCGUUAAGUGUCUUGUGAAAUCCCACGGCUCACCCGUGGAACUGCUGGGCAUACUGGCGAUCUUGGGCCAACUAGGGGCAGCCGGAACAAGCGGUGGAGCGGUGAAAUGCGUAGAUAUCGCUUGGAACGCCGAAGGUGAAAACAGGCUGCUGGGGUUGCGCCGGACGC